CGGGGGGCAGAUGGGAGGCCUAGCCUAGCCCCAGCCGAGACCCCCAGGGGCCCUGCUCUGGCCGCUCCUCCCACCCCGCUGUCCCCUAGACCCCCUUCCCGCUCACCCUGAAGCUGUGGGAUAUACUCGAUGGGGAGAGGGUGCUCACGGCCAUGGCCUACACCAACCUCAAGGUGCACAGGAGUAAGUGAGCCCCUGGGAGCCCAGGGAUGUGUGGGGGGGUAGCAGGGGCGGUGACCCUGUGCUCUGAGCAGCACCCAGACCUGGGGCAGGGGGACUGUGGGGCAGGCGGGUGCAGCGGGGCUCCCUGAGAGGAGCAGUGGUCAGGGGCCACCCCGGCCAGCGCACUGCCCACGGCGCUCCUGGGCACAGCGGGACCCCAGCCGCUGGCCUGGGGGCACCGGGGGCCACAGGGCGGGGCCCUCUGGGUCUGACUCUCGCCCACCACCCAGAGCGCCUCCUGAAGCUGCCCCUGGAAGUGCUCCGGGAGUUCCUCCCUGACACUCUGGCGCAGCCCUGGGCCCUGGAGGACAAGGCGGUGCUCAGACACCUUCGGGCCUCCAUGACCCAGCUCCGGAGGAUGCGGUGCGACCUGCCCCCCACCCAGGUGGGCUCAGGGCCCUGGCCCCUCCCGACUCGGCCUGCUGGGGCCACCCACAGGGGACAGAGCUCCCGGGGCCCCCAUCCUCAUCUCUGGGGCUCUCCUCUUCUGCUCCAGCCUCAGGGACCCCAGGCCAGGGCUGGGCGUGCAGGCACCCACUGCAGGGCCCAGGCACCAGUGUGGGGGGCUGAGCACAGGGUCAGGCCGGGGACCACGCGGGAGCCGUGAGGACCCCCGGGGCCCCCAGUGGGGGACACACAGCCUGCUGGAGACGCUGACCCCGUCGGCCUCUUUCCAGCGGGACCUGAGGAGUUCCCCACGAGGCCCCUGGGCAUGGAGCGAGUGUCCCCGGCGCCCAGGCCUCUCCUCCCUUCUCCAGGCCUCUGAGCCACCGCCCAGGGUGGAGGAGCCGGCCUCCCUGGGCCCAGCCACCCAGCCUGAGCUGCCCAGACCCCCUCCCGGCCAGGCCAUCGUCCAACUUCCCCCCAGCGAUGGAACUCCCUCCCCAUCCUCCCAGUGCAACAAGACGGUGCAGGCAGGUGGCCCCCAGACAUGGUGGGCUUGAAGACAAAAAAUGGGGUCCCCUUCCCUUCGGCACCUGCCUGGGCCACCCGAGAGGCCCCGUGAUGGACCAGGCCCUGGAGCACUCCCGGGACUCCCAUGACGGGGUCCCCCCAGCCCCCAAGGGACGAUGCUGUCGGACCCAGGACACCCUUCCUGCCCCGCAGCCAUUGCAGCUCGUGCUCCUCGCUGGGCAGUGACAGGCACAGCCAGGGCAGAGCCAGGGUGGCGCUGAGCCCACUGUCCCGAGGCCCCGCACAGGCCCGGGACACUCUGCCCUCCGCGUCCACAAUGCAGCUCGAUGCUCGCGGGCCUCUGGGGCAGAGCGUGGCGGGGCGGCCAGACGCCAGGGUCAGGACCCCACAGACUCUACUGCGACUCAGCCUCUGCCCGCGGCCAGGACGGGCCUGGGACAGAGUGACAGCUGGGGAGCCUCAGGUUACCAGGGUCUGUGCUAAGCGCCCUGAGAGGUCUGUGCUCCCACUGUCCAGGGGGCCUGGGCUGCCCGGGCUCCGGGGCCCUUCAUCCCCUCCCCGCCCCAGGCCUGUACACCUGGGGCACAGAGGGCCCGCGGGGCGGUCAGCGUGGCCCCAGAGGGGACGUCAGGACAGCAGGCCCUUGCAGCUCACACACCUGGGCCACCCUCACCAGGCGGGCUCAGCGUGCACACCUGGUGCUGCUGGAUCUCUCGCACCAGAGUGUGGAGGGCACCCUGCAUGCCCUAGAGGGUAGGGGCUGGGUGAGCGUGGGGCUCGGCCUGGGGGGCAGGCACUGUAGGGGACCGAGGGACCCCAGCCCCGGCUCCACCCCGACUCCCACACACAGGCAGCCCCAGGGCUCCCCCCAUGGGCAGCCGGCUCCUCAGGAGCUUCCCCCAGGGCGGCCCCGAGGUCUGGCUCCCCCUAGAGAGGCAUCGGGGAGAAGAGAAUCAGCCGGCGCUCAGCGGGGACCUACUGCCACCCGCGGGAAUGUGGCUGAGCCGGACCUUCCAGCUCAGCUGACCCUCCGGCACGAGGGAGCCCGGGUCGGCCAGGAGAACCCAGCUAGCCACCCAGCACCAGCACCAGAAAUGAUGGUGUUUCAACCAUUUCGGCGUCAGGACGACGCGGCCCGAGGAUCAGAUCGCGGCACAGCGACACACACACACACACCCCUAACCCAACCAACGUCGGAAUCCCCCAAUUGUUGUCAGACAGCAGCCAGACGGUUACAGACACGACGCUGGGGUCCCCGGUAGGACACACGGAGGAUGCUCCAGACCACGGCUGCAGAGGCGCUGGAGGCCCAGGGAUGUGCCUGCGGGUGCCGACGGGGAGCGCAGGGCGGCAGGGAAGCACCCUACAGAGGGGGGCCCCUCCUGGGAAAGGACGCCGGGUCCCCGCAAAGGCUCCGGAUGCUGAUAUCUGUCCUCCUCUCCUUCAGCUUCUGGUUUUCUCCCUAUUUUGUUCUUCCUGAUUCUCCUUCGGCCUCCACCCUGCAUCCGAGCCACUGACCACACAGGCUUCUUUACGAUGUCGGGUCCCAAAAGGAGGCCGAGCUCUGGCUCCCGGGAUCGGGAAGGAUCAUCGCCGAGGUUUAUGCUGAUCCCCCGAGCUCGUGCCUUCCCGGCUCUUCUCUCCUGCAGAACCAGGGGAGGCACGGGCCUUACUGAGAAGGAAGCCCACUCCCACUCGGGCGGAACCGUCCCUCGUGGAGGACGUCAUCUGGGCCAAGGAGUGCAAGCGGGGCGAUCAAGAACAGGUCCCAGGUUAGACAUAGUCUGCUUUGAGGUUUGUCCUGAAGCGAGCACUCACCUUCGAUGUCAUGCUUUAUUAGUUCAUCCAUUUAUUAUUUGUUAAGAUUUUAUUUUUAUGUCCUCUCUACACCCAACAUGGGAGUUCAAACUCACAGUCCUGAGAUCAAGGUCCCCCGACCAGGCCGGCCAGGCACCCCAGGGCCAUGUUUCUCAUCUCUUUCUUGGCUCGCCUUUCUCUGCACCCAACUGGGACAUCGAGUCCAUGACAGAGGAGCUUAAGCUACCUGCGAACCUAGAACGUUCUCUCUGUAUCCCCAUCCUAGAACGACCUUCGCCAUUGAAUAGCAAUUUAAAUAAAACGGCAGUCAAAUGACUCCUGGUAAAGGAAAUGGCCAACUUGUCAC
This is an RNA transcript of Canis lupus familiaris (dog), 3301 nucleotides long. It is a transcript of the gene named TBC1 domain family member 3B-like, with no coding region annotated. The transcript is spliced from 2 exons. Lineage: Eukaryota; Metazoa; Chordata; Mammalia; Carnivora; Canidae. The record is from RefSeq and is a predicted model, not a curated record.